Molecule: ribosomal RNA, 578 nt
Filed under: uncultured bacterium
Lineage: Bacteria
Description: bacterial SSU rRNA
Rfam family: Bacterial small subunit ribosomal RNA
Source: RNAcentral
CCUACGGGAGGCAGCAGUAAGGAAUAUUGGACAAUGGUCGCAAGACUGAUCCAGCCAUGCCGCGUGCAGGAUGAACGAUCUAUGAUCUGUAAACUGCUUUUGUUCGGGAAUAAACCCCUUCACGUGUGGAGGGCUGAAUGUACCGAAAGAAUAAGGGUCGGCUAACUUCGUGCCAGCAGCCGCGGUAAGACGAAGGACCCAAGCGUUAUCCGGAUUUAUUGGGUUUAAAGGGUGCGUAGGCGGGUUGUUAAGUCAGUGGUGAAAGCCUAGAGCUUAACUCUAGAAUUGCCAUUGAUACUGACGAUCUUGAGGAUAGUUGAGGUGGGCGGAAUGUAUCAUGUAGCGGUGAAAUGCUUAGAGAUGAUACAGAACACCGAUUGCGAAGGCAGCUCACUAAGCUAUUUCUGACGCUGAGGCACGAAAGCGUGGGGAUCAAACAGGAUUAGAUACCCUGGUAGUCCACGCCCUAAACGAUGAUUACUCGAUGUGUGCGAUAUACUGUACGCGUCUAAGCGAAAGCAUUAAGUAAUCCACCUGGGGAGUACGACCGCAAGGUUGAAACUCAAAGGAAUUGACGG